UACGUAGGUGGCAAGCGUUGUCCGGAAUUAUUGGGCGUAAAGCGCGCGUAGGCGGCCCGAUAAGUCCGCUGUGAAAGUCAACGGCUCAACUGUUGGAUGCCGGUGGAUACUGUCGGGCUAGAGUACGGAAGAGGCAAGUGGAAUUCCUGGUGUAGCGGUGGAAUGCGCAGAUAUCAGGAGGAACACCUAUAGCGAAGGCAGCUUGCUGGGACGUUACUGACGCUAAGGCGCGAAAGCGUGGGGAGCGAACAGG
This 253-nucleotide ribosomal RNA is filed under the name uncultured bacterium. RNAcentral describes it as "partial 16S ribosomal RNA". It matches the Rfam family "Bacterial small subunit ribosomal RNA", at positions 524 to 776 of the family's 1533-position model. The record is from RNAcentral.